UGGGGAAUCUUGGACAAUGGGCGCAAGCCUGAUCCAGCCAUGCCGCGUGAGCGAUGAAGGCCUUAGGGUUGUAAAGCUCUUUCACCGGUGAAGAUAAUGACGGUAGCCGGAGAAGAAGCCCCGGCUAACUCCGUGCCAGCAGCCGCGGUAAUACGGAGGGGGCUAGCGUUGUUCGGAAUUACUGGGCGUAAAGCGCACGUAGGCGGACCAGAAAGUUGGGGGUGAAAUCCCGGGGGCUCAACCCCGGAACUGCCUCCAAAACUAUUGGUCUAGAGUUCGAGAGAGGUGAGUGGAAUUCCAAGUGUAGAGGUGAAAUUCGUAGAUAUUUGGAGGAACACCAGUGGCGAAGGCGGCUCACUGGCUCGAUACUGACGCUGAGGUGCGAAAGUGUGGGGAGCAAACAGGAUUAGAUACCCUGGUAGUCCACACCGUAAAACGAUGAAUGCCAGUCGUCGGGUAGCAUGCUAUUCGGUGACACACCUAACGGAUUAAGCAUUCCGCCUGGGGAGUAC
Molecule: ribosomal RNA, 512 nt
Filed under: uncultured bacterium
Lineage: Bacteria
Description: bacterial SSU rRNA
Rfam family: Bacterial small subunit ribosomal RNA
Source: RNAcentral